GACCUGAUGAUACCUUCAACUAAAAAAACCAAAUGUGUUCUCGUGUGGUCCUGACGGAAAAGUAGUAUCAACAAGGCUAUGCCGCUCCGAAGCAUUGAGAUGACGAAGCGUCGUUGUAGCUGCACCUCUGCCUUCGAAAGAUGAAUCAGUCAUUCCACACUGUGCUUACUGGCUUUGUAUAGAGUCUGGCAAAUCCGACAGACUUGGACUGCCUUUUUCAAGAAAGUUUGAAAUAGCAUCCCUUAUGCACCUGCAUUUCAAUUCCAAUCUGUAUUACAAGAAUGACAGACCACUCAACAGAGAUGAACAUCUGAAAGUGAAAGAGCUGGAACGAAGAUACGUUAAUCUGUGUCAAAGGUUCUUAGUAUGUGUGCGAGUCGAGGACAUAGGUCUCAAGCUUAUUCCUGUCUUCAGAAGAGGUGACAACUAUGCUCCUUCUAUCUAUUAACCAGCUCCACUUUUUAGGGUUCCCUGUAAACUAAUGGAGCACAUCAUGUACUACCACGUUGUCAACCAAGUUGACUCUGUCAAUUUCUUUUUUUAAAUUCCAGCAUGGUUUUAGAAAAGGGUAUUCAGGCAAAACUAACGUAGUGCAUGGAAUUCGUUCACAGCAUUUCAAACUGUCUUGAUUUCUGGGUCCACGUAGAUGUAGUAUUCUUUUUAUUUUCUAAGGGCUUUUGACACUGUGCUCUACGCUCGCGUGUUGGCCAUAGUAGCCUAAUUAAAAUUUGAUCCUGCUACCUGGAUGUGCAGUUUCUCAACUAACCGUAACUGUGGCGACAACUCGUGAGGAGAACCUAUCAUAUCGCCACCAUGCAGCAUUUGUUAUAUUACAAUCGCUUCACAUUUUAAUCUA
Long non-coding RNA from Ornithodoros turicata, 856 nucleotides. RefSeq lists it as uncharacterized. The record is from RefSeq and is a predicted model, not a curated record. The transcript is spliced from 3 exons. Lineage: Eukaryota; Metazoa; Arthropoda; Arachnida; Ixodida; Argasidae.